AGUGAACGCUGGCGGUAGGCCUAACACAUGCAAGUCGAACGGCAGCACAGUAAGAGCUUGCUCUUACGGGUGGCGAGUGGCGGACGGGUGAGGAAUACAUCGGAAUCUACUUUUUCGUGGGGGAUAACGUAGGGAAACUUACGCUAAUACCGCAUACGACCUACGGGUGAAAGCAGGGGAUCUUCGGACCUUGCGCGAUUGAAUGAGCCGAUGUCGGAUUAGCUAGUUGGCGGGGGAAAGGCCCACCAAGGCGACGAUCCGUAGCUGGUCUGAGAGGAUGAUCAGCCACACUGGAACUGAGACACGGUCCAGACUCCUACGGGAGGCAGCAGUGGGGAAUAUUGGACAAUGGGCGCAAGCCUGAUCCAGCCAUACCGCGUGGGUGAAGAAGGCCUUCGGGUUGUAAAGCCCUUUUGUUGGGAAAGAAAAGCAGCAGGUUAAUACCCCGCUGUUCUGACGGUACCCAAAGAAUAAGCACCGGCUAACUUCGUG
This 492-nucleotide ribosomal RNA is filed under the name uncultured bacterium. Its description in RNAcentral is "partial 16S ribosomal RNA". It matches the Rfam family "Bacterial small subunit ribosomal RNA", at positions 29 to 507 of the family's 1533-position model. The record is from RNAcentral.